AGGAUCAUUUGCAAUGGGCGAAAGCCUGACAAUGCGACGCUGCGUGCAGGAUGAAGGUCUUCGGAUUGUAAACUGCUGUCAAGGGGGAAAAGGACGCGGCCCCGAACAAGGGCCGCCGUUUGAUUGUACUCCUAGAGGAAGUGACGGCUAACUCUGUGCCAGCAGCCGCGGUAAUACAGAGGUCACUAGCGUUGUUCGGAUUUACUGGGCGUAAAGCGUGCGCAGGCGGCCGACCUUGUCGGAUGUGAAAGCCCGGGGCUCAGCCCCGGAAGUGCAUCCGAAACCGGUCGGCUCGAGUCCGGGAAGGGAGUCUGGAACACACGGUGUAGCGGUGAAAUGCGUUGAUAUCGUGUGGAACACCGGAGGCGAAGGCGAGACUCUGGAACGGCACUGACGCUCAUGCACGAAAGCGUGGGGAGCAAACA
This 425-nucleotide ribosomal RNA is filed under the name uncultured bacterium. RNAcentral's name for it is "bacterial SSU rRNA". It matches the Rfam family "Bacterial small subunit ribosomal RNA", at positions 358 to 774 of the family's 1533-position model. The record is from RNAcentral.